Long non-coding RNA from Dreissena polymorpha, 362 nucleotides. RefSeq lists it as uncharacterized. The record is from RefSeq and is a predicted model, not a curated record. NCBI's taxonomy places the organism in Eukaryota, Metazoa, Mollusca, Bivalvia, Myida, Dreissenidae. The transcript has 3 exons.
GAAAAGCUUACAUAGUAAUGGCGGACGCUUGGACGAGUCAGUGAGAUUUGCGUUUUGUUUGUUUGUUUGGAGGAAUAAUUCCAAUAAAUGGCUGAUUCGCCUGGAGCAUGUGACAGGCAGUUGGAACAGUGCUCAUUUUCAAACAGAGAUUCCAUUGCUUCUGACACAACGGCCAGAACUUGGGAAUCUGUCUCAUUCUGCUGUUCAAGAAAGAGAAUGGAAAGACACAGUCAAAGAAAACCUGAAAACCUGUGGACCAGCCAUACAGCGCCAUCAUGAAAUCUCAUAUUUGUUGAAUCGCUGUAUUUCCACCGAAACAAAUUUCUUGUUUCUCCUGGAAAAUACCUUGUUUGAUAUGGCAA